GAUAGUCCUCACUGGAAAUGCAAACCCGAGUUGAUUCCGAUCCUUAGAGAUGAAAAUAAAGUUGCCGAUAAACUUGCUAAUAAAGCUCACAACUUCGCGUCUUUUGAUCUGCAAGAGAUUAAUGAUCCACCUCAAAACUGCCUCCAAUUGCUCUAGCUAGCUCUUUAAUUAAAUGUAAUUAUUAAGGAACUACUACCACGUAUGAAACUACUGCCUCCUUGCUCUAGCUCUUUUUAUGUAUGGUUUUAAUGUUAAUUUGGUGAUGUUUUUAAUGUAUGGUUUGUUUAUGUUUAAUGCAAUGUGCUACUAUUGGUUUUAUUGUAUUUGUUCAACUCUUCAUUACUCCUUCCCCCUUCAACAUGUAGGGAGGGAGGAGAACAUGUAUUAUGUGUGUAUGUAGGGAGGGAGGGAGGGAGGGAGUAUUAAUUAGAUUAAAUAUAAGAUAAUUCUAUAAGAAUGAAAGACAACAAACUACCCUAUUAUUUUUUUUAAUGUCAAAACUAAUCCUCUAAUUUAUUAGAUUGUUAUUUAGUUG
This 535-nucleotide long non-coding RNA is filed under the name Trifolium pratense (red clover). RNAcentral describes it as "long non-coding RNA (TPRA_LNC010305)". The record is from RNAcentral. Lineage: Eukaryota; Viridiplantae; Streptophyta; Magnoliopsida; Fabales; Fabaceae.